GCGGCGGUCACGUUUUGUCUAACCCUAACUGAGCUGGGCGGAGGCGCCGCGCUUUUGCUCCCCGCGCGCUGUUUUUCUCGCUGACUUUCAGCGGGCGGAAAAGCCUCGGUCUACCGCCACUUACCAUCCAGUCUGGAGUAAACAAAAAAUGUCAGCCGCUGGCUCGCUCGCCCCUCCCGGGACCCUGCGACGGCUCGCCCGCCCAGCCCCCGCGCCCCGCCUGGAGGCCGCGGUCGGCCCGGGGCUUCUCCGGAGGCGCCCAAUGCCGCCGCGAAGAGUUGGGCUCUGUCAGCCGCGGGUGCCUCGGGGGCCAGGGACGAGGCUCUGGCCGCAGGGAGAGGAACGGAGCGGGUCCCCGCGCGCGGUGCGCUUCCCUGAGCUGUGGGACGUGCACCCGGGACUCGGCUCAAACACGUGCAGCCUGCUGGGGGGCUGCGGAGGCGCGGGUCCGCCUUCCUCCUGGAAGGGGGACUCUGAUCGUGCGCCACCCCCUCCCUUCGCCGCCACUGGUGGGCCUCUGGACCUCGGAUCUGCAGAUUGGACCUGGGUGCGUGCAGAUUGGCAGGACUCGUCAAGCCACCUCCAGAACUGGCCCAAAUGAGUGGGCAAUGAGCCGAGUAGCCAGCUAGCCGUUCGUGCCUGCGGUUUUAAUACUUUUCUUAUUCCUGAUGGGCCCCCCAGAC
RNAcentral lists this long non-coding RNA (683 nucleotides) under Equus caballus (horse). RNAcentral describes it as "lncRNA (ENSECAG00000047339.1)". The stretch from base 1 to 416 matches the Rfam family "Vertebrate telomerase RNA". Rfam says of the family: Telomerase is a ribonucleoprotein reverse transcriptase that synthesises telomeric DNA. The record is from RNAcentral. Lineage: Eukaryota; Metazoa; Chordata; Mammalia; Perissodactyla; Equidae.